CACACGACUCUCGGCAACGGAUAUCUCGGCUCUCGCAUCGAUGAAGAACGUAGCGAAAUGCGAUACCUGGUGUGAAUUGCAGAAUCCCGCGAACCAUCGAGUCUUUGAACGCAAGUUGCGCCCGAGGCCUUUGGGCCGAGGGCACGCCUGCCUGGGCGUCACGC
This 164-nucleotide ribosomal RNA is filed under the name Himalayacalamus falconeri. RNAcentral's name for it is "5.8S ribosomal RNA". It matches the Rfam family "5.8S ribosomal RNA". From Rfam's summary of the family: 5.8S ribosomal RNA (5.8S rRNA) is a component of the large subunit of the eukaryotic ribosome. It is transcribed by RNA polymerase I as part of the 45S precursor that also contains 18S and 28S rRNA. RNAcentral also lists the same sequence under 2 other names. The record is from RNAcentral. Lineage: Eukaryota; Viridiplantae; Streptophyta; Magnoliopsida; Poales; Poaceae.